This 261-nucleotide ribosomal RNA is filed under the name uncultured bacterium. RNAcentral describes it as "partial 16S ribosomal RNA". It matches the Rfam family "Bacterial small subunit ribosomal RNA", at positions 524 to 784 of the family's 1533-position model. The record is from RNAcentral.
GACAGAGGGGGCAAGCGUUGCUCGGAAUUACUGGGCGUAAAGGGCGCGUAGGCGGGAUGGUAAGUCGGUCGUGAAAUCCUUCGGCUCAACCGAAGAACGUCGGCCGAUACUGCCGUUCUUGAGGGAUGCAGAGGAGACUGGAAUUCCCGGUGUAGCGGUGAAAUGUGUAGAGAUCGGGAGGAACACCGGUGGCGAAGGCGGGUCUCUGGGCAUCUCCUGACGCUGAGGCGCGAAAGCGUGGGGAGCAAACGGGAUUAGAUA